GGUAACCAAAAAGCCAAGUCAAACCCAUUUUCCCACUGUCGGUGCUUCUGCUUCUUCUCCUACAGCGACUAUUUAAGUUCCAUGCAUUUUUGUUCCGUUCAUUCAUCUCCAUUGAUUUCAUUGUUGGGUAGUUCUAUAUUGGCCUGGUUGAUCUUUCAGUUUCUAAUCCAUUGAAAUGAAGUUCAACAAAUUUUUAGCUACAGCAUUGGUAGAGUUGCCAAGAUUGCAGCUAACAAAGCCACGAAUGUUACUGAUAAAAAGAUUGAUCAGUUAGUGAUCAAUGAUAAGCAGGAAAUCCUCGAGUCCUGGGAGUUUCCAUCUUUGCAUCGGUCUGAAGAAGAAGAAGAUUUAACAUGUUGGCGCUGGAAGAGAAAAAUUGAUGUGCACCCAUGAAAAGGACGACGACACAUGCAAAUUCUGGCUUCAAAAUCAUCGACAAGGGAAGAAGGUAAUCCGGUAUGUAAAAGGUGUUCCUGAUGAUGCUUGGGCGUGCAGGUGGUCAAGGCAAUAGAAAGGGUGCUCAAUGUCCCAAAAUUGUGGAACACUUGGUUCACACAUAUUGUGCUGGUGAACUUGUGCAAGCAGAAGUUAAGUCUGGAUCUGAAACUGGGUUAGCAUUAACAAUCUUUUUCAUUUCAUCAUAAUUCUUCGCAGGUAGUUAGCUCAUAGCUGUGUAAUUGUCAUAAUCAUUGUUUUUAAUGAUUGCGUUAUUAUUACUGUGCUGGGUGUGUACUAAUAGAUGGUACUUUAUCUUAUCAUAUUCAUAUUGUUCAAAACAUCAUACAUUUUUUUUCCUAUAACUAUUGCCACCUGCUACAAAGAAAUGAUCCGGAAAUUCAUGAAAGAAGGAAAAAUUGCCCCUUCCGUGGUAACUGUGAAGCAUCUGCAGCAGGAAAUGCAGCAAAGUGAAAACAAGAAAUUUGUCAUUGAUUCCCUCGUAAUGAAGAAAAUCGCACUGCAUUUGAGAACAGUGUAAUGCUAGAGAAUUUUACUGUCAAUCAACAGCAAUUAAUAAUAUCUUUAUUGGCUCUUCUCAAUUUUGAGAAUUCUUCUUUUUUUUUCUGAGAAUAAUUUUAAGAAUUCCUCUACUUUCAGUUGUAGAGACUUUAUUCCUUGCUGAUAUCACGCAUUAUCAUUGUUGUAAAAGUGAAUUUUAUACUGUCUUGCAGAUGAAAAUUGAGCCUCAGAGGUGUUGACAAAACGUCUUCUAUGCAGGAACCAGGGAAGAGUUGAUGAUAACAUUGAUACCAUACAAAAAUGACUGAAAGUUUAUUUUGAAUCAACGCUACCUGUCAUCAGCUACUACAGCUCAAAAGGAAAAGUUCAGAAGAUUGAUGCUGAAAGAUAGGUAUUUUAGGAUGUCAGAAGUGUCUUCUCCAAGCUCAAACCAAAGCUGUAGGCUUAAAGAAUGAAUGAAAAAUCCUACAACUUGGAGCACAAGUGGCAUCCUAUGAUUCUUUAGCAAUGAAAAACAUGCUUUUAGCAGUUGCUAAUUAGUGGGAAUGGGAAUAUUUUAUAGUACUCUUUAGAUUACAAGUUUCCUCUUAAAAAUUCUGUCUAAUUUUCAAUAUUAUCAAAGUAGCUAAUCUGUGCAGAGUUAGGAAUCCAGAGGUCCUAACCUUAUAAUUACGUUAGCAGUCUUUAAGUGGAAGCUGAGGCAUUUUAAUU
This is a long non-coding RNA of Hevea brasiliensis (rubber tree), 1668 nucleotides long. RefSeq lists it as uncharacterized. Lineage: Eukaryota; Viridiplantae; Streptophyta; Magnoliopsida; Malpighiales; Euphorbiaceae. The transcript is spliced from 4 exons. The record is from RefSeq and is a predicted model, not a curated record.